UGCCAAACACCUGCAGCCAGUGGUAAAGGCUUAAAACCGCCCCAACUUCCUUAUUGCCUUAAAAAUAAAAAGUAAUGAGAAAUGGAUUUCUAUGCUGAGUAAGCAGAACAAAAGCCACCUAGAACUUAGCUUUUAUAUAACGCCCAGAAUUUAAAAAACUCAAAAACCCCAUACUGACCAUCUUGUCCAAAUCGUCAUAUCUGGAGAAUCAAAACAGUUUCGGUAUAAAUCAUUAUGCUCUUGGCUGCCUAAAUUAGGUACAACUUAAUAUAAAGUUCAGUAAUCUUCCCAGUUGUAAAUUCUUCCUGUCCCCUGUAUUCCCCACAAAAACAUGCGUUAGAAAAGCGCUGGGAUUCCUUCUGGUCCCCUGCAAGCUGUUUCUGGUGCAACCACAGUUCGCGAGUAGAAAACCCCGGGCCCGGAGCAGUUCAACUGCCGCCCUGGCCACACCCUGGGCCACGGCUCCUUCCCGGCCUGGACCGAAGAUAAACAAAUCGCGCCUGUUCUCCAGACCUCACAUUAGCGCUGACUCACAGGGUGCCCAGAGCGGGCCUCAGUCGCCUCGCGAAGAAGGAAAAAUGUGCAGAUUUUUCCUCUCACGCGAGGGUCCGCCGUGUCUAGCUGGCCAAUCAUCGGAGGGCUGCGGGAAUCGCACCAAAUUGAGGAAGUAGAACCUGCCCGCGCCCCUCAAGACUGGAGCUGGCGAAGGGGUCCCGCCCCUCAGCCCCGGGCAGGUGAGCGACGCCCCCGCAGUCCGGACUCCAGGCUGCCCCCGGGGCGGGGCAUUGCCGGGCCGGCCCGUCGUGUAGCAACGCGGGCAGUGCGUGACGUGCGCAGGCGCAUUUUGACCCGAGGCGCGCGACCGCCCCUUAGUAGGCUCACGGUGCCGCGUCGGCUCUGCGCUCGCUUUCUCGUCCUGCUGGUGUGAGGAGGUUGUUCCGCACACUCGGUUCCCGCCGGCUCCCUCCCCUGAAUCCCUGCAACCGCCGCUGCGAAGAUGGCGCCCGGAGUGCAAGUUGCUGAUGAAGUAUGUCGCAUUUUUUAUGACAUGAAAGUUCUGGAAAUGCUCCACACCUGAGGAAAUUAAAAAAGAAAGAAGGCUGUCAUUUUUUGUCUCAGUGCAGACAAAAAGUGCAUCAUUGUUGAAGAAGGCAAAGAGAUCCUAGUUGGAGAUGUGGGUGUGACCAUCACUGAUCCCUUCAAGCAUUUUGUGGGGAUGCUUCCUGAAAAGGAUUGUCGCUAUGCCUUGUAUGAUGCAAGCUUCGAGACCAAGGAGUCCAGGAAAGAAGAGCUGAUGUUCUUUUUGUGGGCCCCAGAACUGGCCCCUCUGAAGAGUAAGAUGAUCACGCCAGCUCUAAGGAUGCGAUCAAAAGAAGUUCCAAGGUAUGUGCGGGACUUGGACCUUAGGGAUGUGGGGACCCCUGAAGCACCUCCAUUUUCCUGGGAGAGCAGCUUUGAGUAGAAAGAGAAAAGCCAUGCUUGUUCUGAGGGAGAUCCCAAGGCUGAGCCACUACUCAGGAAGUCCUCCACCUCAGCCACAGAGAUUGUGCAGCAGGGCGGCCUUAAAGCCCAGUCCCCUGGGCUGCCUGUCCCUCACCUGCUCUGACUGGUUCAGACCAGCGUCCCCUGUAGCAGGGAAAGCCUGGGGCCUCUGUGGCCAGGCUAGUGUCACUGUGCCGAUGCCUUUGAAUGUAGUAAUAGAACCAGGUUGCAAGAAGUAGGCAUUCAUGAACAGGAAGGAUGCGCUGCCUUCCAUCUUCACCAUGGAUGGUGCAGUUUUAGGUCAUUGAUUCAUCUGUGCUGAAAGGUCACGUGGCCCAAGCUGGCCAGUCACCGCCUUGCUGCCAGAGACUGUGGUCCCAACAGGAUGGUGGGGCUGGGCCUGGGCCCAGCCAGAAGGAAGCCUUGGUAUGGUCAGCCGAGCAUGAGGCAUUAGUUUAGAGGCCUGCUCUGCAGACCCAGCUUGUCUUAACUGCUGUGACCUUUGCCCUUGAGUGGGAGGCAUGGACUGAGUGUGUGCUUGCCAGCUGCCUUUGCAGCCAGGGUCAUGGGGAACAGGGCCAGUUGAGUCUCUGUGCCUCCAUUCUCACUUCUCCCAGCAUGGUUCCGUGCCUGCUCAGCUGUGUGGGGGGUGAUAAGAGGGCAUACCCAGAAUCAAGGUCACUUGUGUGUCCCCAACGUUUCAAAUCACCCCUGAGUGUCAGCACUUUGACAGUGGUACCAACUCACACCAGAUUCCUCAUUGUCUUCACCUUGCAGUGCCCUCACUCAAGGGGAUGGCUGAGUAGACUGGUGAUGUUGAGUGACAGUCACCUUGUCACCCGUUCUCUGAUGAAACCAUCCCGGCUUCCCCAUUAGUCCUGGGGUUGGGGGCACGCCCACUGUAUUCUCUGUGAGCUGGAGAAAUGGUCCUCAUGCGAGAGCCACCAGUGCCACACUGCAGUUCUGUGACGGCUCUUGUAUGUGUGGCGUUCCUGCACUGGAGAGCUGGCUGUGUCUGUGGCACAGCGAGUGCUCCUGGUGAUUAUUUACUUUAUGGUGCAGUUGACAAAACCAGCUGGCCCAUAACAAACCAGGAAAAGUUAUUACUAGAACCUGCCUUUUGAUUUUUUUUUUUUUAAAUUGAAGUAUAGCAUGUCUUUACAAAAAGCAUACCUCAUAAAUUAUGAGUGCUCCCUGAAUGUUUUGAGCCCGAGCAUCAUAGUGGCACCCCCUGGGGCCCUGCUCUUGCCACUGCUCCCCAGGAGCUUCUAACCAGCCAAGGGCGUGCGUGUGUAAAGAAUAGUUGCUUCUCCGGCUGGGGAUUUAGCUCAUUGGUGCCACUGCCUGCCUUGCAAGCACAAGGGCCUGAGUUUGAUCCCCUGUACCAAAACCAAAACAAAAAAAGAAUAGAUGCUUCUCUUUCUGACUUGCUGCAGCCAGCAUUGUGUUUGUGAGCAGCAUCUAGUUUGAUGCAUGGAGUUACCAAUUAAUAUUUCUCAUUUCUGUGUAGUAUUGCAAGGUUGUAAAUAACACUGUUUAUAGACAUGAGCUUUAAAAACAUAGUACUGUAAAGAAAUAGAUAAGCUGCUGCCAUAAUUUUAAAUAGAAUUGUUUUUCCUUUCAGGCAUCAAACACGAAUGUCAAGCAAAUGGGCGGAAGACCUCAAGCGAGCUUGUAUUGCCGAAAAGCUGGGUGGGUCCUUGAUUGUAGCCUUGAAGGGUGCCCGUGUAGUGUCGUUCCAGUGCCACAGCGAAAGCUUCUGUGUUUAAUGUUACCCUCUUGCUCCAUAAGUAAAGCAGAUGCAUUUAUGCCAGGGUCUCACUGAGGGAGCUGUCUUGUCAUCUUUGAGUAAAUAUUCUAUAAACCUGUGCAAACGGCGCGGCCCUAAAUAAACCUAGCAUCAAAGUGUAAUUGGUGUGAAAUGAAAUUCUUACUGGCCAAAUGCCUGUUUUGAUGAGUUGACUUACAAAGAUUUUUGUUAAAGCUCAGGAUUUUUAAUAAAGCUCAGGAUUUUUAAUAACAGUUCACAAAACAGUAUAGAUAUAGAGGCCAUAUGAAGAGAAUCAUUCUGUCUUUCAUUAACCUCAGCAGUUACUUUCUUUUGUUUGAAAAUUGAUUACAAUCUGGUUAUAAUUUUGGCCCAGAAUUAUUCUUCUUGACCCACACAGAAUGGGUUGUCCUCCCCUAACGUGUACCCACACUAACCCACUAGCAGCAGUGAGUCUCAGGCAGCCUUUAGUUCUCCCAGAAGUCGCAUCUACUGUGACUCACCCUGAUCUUGCAAAGCCUGCCUCGAGUGGCACAGCUGUCCCCGCACCUGGGGCUGCAGGCUCUCACCUUGUAUCUUGGGAAUUGUGGUGUGGCUUCAGAAGAUGGGGACUAAUUCUAAUGCAAAUUAGCGCUCAGGAACUGUACUCUGCUUUCUAAUGAAAAUGCUUCAACCGGCAGUAUCUAGGUAGGCUAGGACAUCUCACACCUGCGUCUCCUUCAGAGCUGCAGCACCCCGUAUGAUAUGAUGGCAAGAACACUUGAGUGUUUCUUCCAGGGCCUAGGAGAACUUUGUUUCCUAGAGCAGUGUGUCACUUGUGUGGAGUGGGGAGCUGGUACCUAGUGACUGCGCAGAUGUGAUUGUCCUUAACACCACAGGCAUGACAUUUGAACAAGAGAAAUGCACAGUCUUAGAAGUAGCAGUUACUGGCUUUAUGUAAUAAAGGAAGCAUUUUUAACUUCUCUGGUGUCAUCAUUCACAUGUGAGUUGGGGAUGGAGGGGUUUUACCUUCCACAAGGGGAUUCUGGGGGUUUCGCAUGGGUGACUCAGCUUCUACCUUCUCUGAUUGAAAGAGGAAGCUGGUAUAAAAGUUGGGAACCUUUUUCUUAGUAGUGUUUAAUGCAAGGCUAGGCUUUGGGAGGCAAAAAAGGUCAUGCUUUCAUCAAAAUAUCUUUCAAGACUUGCUAAGCGCAAGGACCCAAGUUCAAUCCCCGGUACAAAAAAAAAAAAAAGACUGGCUGGAAAAGUGCUGGCUGCUUGCCAUUCUCCCAUCUGGAACUGAACACUGCUCUGUGAUGUGUGUAAACAGGCCCCAGGGAAGCAUCUGGCCAGGCUGCCCUGCUCCCCUGCCCGCCGCCUCAGGCCGUGUCCCUCAGGAGGCGCUGUGGGCUGAGUGCAGGCGCUUGGCUGGGGGGCUUCUGUGCAGCAUUCAGGGAGGUAACACAAAGUCAGCAUCUCCCACACCCCUUUUCCUGCAAAAGUAGUGGGUGCCGGAGGUUACUUUCAGUUCUCUGCGUGGAUACUGGCAGGGGCUGGGGGCCCAGACACUGUUGCCAACCUCCUGGUGACCUGAGCAGCAUGAAGUUGUGGACCAAAAAGGUCCAGGUCCACCCCACUUCCAGGGCACUUCAACACCCUUACAGGCUGGCGCAUUAUGGAAACGAGCCUGUGGACAGGUUGUGGCUCUGCACGCCUGGAGGUGGGCGUGGACCAGGUACUGAGCUCAGGUCUCCUGCCUUGUGGGUUGGGGGCGGCCUAGGUGGGAGCCAGGCUCAGCCUGACCGGCAGAGUGGCCUUGAAGGACUGUUAAAGGAACUUGGCCAGUCAGGUCACUUAGUUUACAAGUGGCGGAACUGGACAAAGACAGGGUUCUGAGCAGUUCUCGCCACCUCUAGAUGGUUCAGGUUUGAGUCUAACAUCUGGAAUUUGGAGGUCAGCGCUCAGUACCAUGUGCGCCACUUCAGGGAUAGAACUGCUAGCCUGAGCAACAACAAGGAACUGGGGGAGUCAUCAGGCUACAGCCCUGUCCAACCCAAUAUUGCCCACAGCCUUACUGGCGUCCCUGUCCUCUCCCAGGCUGUGAGGGCCACUUGCCAAGCCAGUGUCCUGUCCUGUGCCUUUCAGUGAGUACCACAUGGACAUGAACAGAGGAUGCUCACCCUGGAGCCUCCCAGCACCCUCCGGCUCAGGAAACCACUGUGUGACUGUCAGCAGUGAGCUGGGCCUCAUCCCAAGUGAUCACAAUAGCCAGGGCUCUAGGGCGCUCCCUCCGGGUUUUGCAGGGAGAGCUCAGAGUGGCCUGGCUGGCUAGCCCAACC
RNAcentral lists this long non-coding RNA (5568 nucleotides) under Heterocephalus glaber (naked mole-rat). RNAcentral describes it as "lncRNA (ENSHGLG00000049638.1)". The record is from RNAcentral. Lineage: Eukaryota; Metazoa; Chordata; Mammalia; Rodentia; Bathyergidae.